RNAcentral lists this long non-coding RNA (253 nucleotides) under Ananas comosus (pineapple). RNAcentral's name for it is "long non-coding RNA (ACOM_LNC039937)". Lineage: Eukaryota; Viridiplantae; Streptophyta; Magnoliopsida; Poales; Bromeliaceae. The record is from RNAcentral.
AAAGGAGAACCAUCUAAGUUUAAUUAGUCUGUACCUAUAAUUAUUUGAGGAAUGCUUCAAUACACCGGAUAAAAUAAAUCUAGCUGUUCAUAUUUUAAGGGCGAGAUUGACUUUUGCAUAGUGGUUACCUGCUCAACAGGUUACCAUUCGUAAAGGUAAUAUGAAAAAAUAAAUACAAACUAAUUACCAAAUUUAAACAACCCUACACAAAUAUUUGUUUUCUUGUUUAAUUUUGUUACUUACCAAAUUAGAU